Molecule: non-coding RNA, 11277 nt
Organism: Equus caballus (horse)
Lineage: Eukaryota; Metazoa; Chordata; Mammalia; Perissodactyla; Equidae
Source: RefSeq, a predicted model, not a curated record
UCAAGCUGGAGACAGAAGAAAAGCCCCCUUGGGGGCUCCACAGUCAAGCUCAGCCGUUUCCCUGGGAGGACUUCUGCUUCUAGUCCUUCCUUGCAACUUCCGCUCUGCUCCUGGGCUCUCUGUGUCUUCCUUCCUCCUUUUCUACACAAUGUAUUUUAUGAACGUGAAGGAGGAGCACAUCAUGGUGAGAGGCAGGCUCCUGAGUGAGGAUUUACAUGCCAUCUCCACCCCCUACCCCGUCAGGCGAGCUGCAGCAUCGGACAGGUUUCUGCGCCUCUCUAGCCUCAGUUUACUCAUUGUGAAAUGAGUAAGAAGCAAAAUAGGACCAGAAGUAGUUUGAAUACGUGGAUAAAAAUUCCGAACAUAGAGCAACUUGAAAUGGAAAGCCAGAAAAUUCUCUGUGAUUUCCGAAAGGAAAUUCCACAUCCAUUCCACAAGGAUGUGACUAUUUGGAGGCUGACAAAGAAGAGGUUCAGCGGGUGACACAGGACCAGAAUAGCCCGAGAAGGAAAGCCAGAGAGGACCACCCCGGCGCGGUUCACCCAAUCCUCGGUGAGGAGGGCUCCCGUUAACCCCGGAAGCGCUCUGUGAAUUGUUUUGUAAUUUGUUGUGAAUACAGUUUUGCUUAAGUUAAUAUUUUUAUCAAAGUUCAAGUCAUUUAUAUAGUAACGUGGGUUCCAUCAUUUUUACUAAGCCUUUUUGCUGUCCAUUCCUAAGAUCCGAGUUAAAAGAAGCCCCGAGGUUUUACUGGGGAUGGAGUCCUGAGCGGCGCGGGAGGGGCCCGCGGGCGGCUGCCGGCCGAUGGGGUGCAGACCCGUCCCCGGGCUGCAGUCCAAAUUCUGCCCCUGGCUUGUUCCUAUCCGGAUGGGCGCACGUUCACAGGCGCUCCUCCUCCCGGAAUGCAGCUUCCGCUUGCCUUGUCUCUGUUUGAUCCCACUGCUGCCAGGUGGCAAACCAAACGCGGAACCCUGCAAGGUGUGAGGCGAAGUCCUCAAGGUGCCUCGUCUGGGAAGGGAAGGGCCGACGCUGCGCCACCGUGAAAGGGGGUGUGAUUUUCUUUUGUUUCUUCCUUGAGGAACGUGUGUUCUUACUUCCAGGCACUAACAGUCCUCCGACUGGUUUUUUGGCCAUAAUGCUAACUGUCCCUACAGGCGGUGAAGAAGAUAUAGGCCGUGAUAAUUACAGGCUGACUCACCACUCCCGGGAGGCUGUGAAACGGAGCCUGGUGCUGGAAUCCUUCUCACUGGUGUCUUCACCUGGUCUGUGUAUUAGUCAGGGUUCUGCGGAGAAACAGAACCAAUAGAGAGAGUUUAUUUUAAGGAAAUGGCUCACAUCGUUGCUGGGCUGGCAAGUCUGAAGUUCACACAGCAGGCUGCCAGCCUGGGAAUUUUGGCAAGAGUUGUAGUCUUGAGUCCAAAGGCAGUCUGAGGGAGAGUUCCCUCUUCAUUGGGGGGCCUCAGUCUUUUUCUGUUAAGGCUGUCAACUGAUUAGAUGAGGCCCACCCACAUUAUGGAGGAUUACCUACUUUACUCAAAGUCUACUGAUUUAAAUGUUAAUCACAUCUAAAAAAUGGCUUCACAGUAGCAUCUAGACUGAUGUUUGACCAAACACCUGGGCCCCAUGGCUAGCUACGAUGACAUUAAGUUAACCAUCACCCAGUCUGGGUACUCUGGUUUCCCCAGUCCUGGCCUUUCACAGUCAAGGGUUCUCCCUCUCCCCGCCCUGAUUUCUUAGUAAAUCAUCAGUUCCUUGUAUCUCGGUCUGGACUUUUAUUUUUUCCUUAUUAAAAGUACUAGAGGUACAUGAAAGAAAAUUUAGAAAAAGCAUUAUUCUAACACCACCCAUGAGAAACAAUCAUUGGGCUGUGUGUCCUGCCAGUCAUUGUGCUGUGCGUGCAUAAGCAGGGAUAAUAACGGCUAACACACUGUGUUCCAGUUAUGAACUCACUCAAUCCUCCUGGCAUCGGUGAGGUAGGUACCAUUAUUAUUUCUAUGAUAAGUGAGAAAAACAAGGCACAGAGAAGUUAAGUGACUUGCCCAAAUCCACACAGCUUGUGAAGGGCAGUUUCAGGGUCAGACCCAAGUGCUCUGGCUCUGGAGUCUGGGCUUUUAAUCACUUCGUUAUAGUGGCCCCGGAUACACAUAUUUUUCUAUAAUAUGGGGAUUAUUCUAAAUACAAUAUACUGUUUAUUUUUACCUGAUUUUCAUAAUUAACUUUUAAGGUCAUUAAAUAAUCUUCUGCAUUUCUACAUCAUAUUUAGUUGUAGCAAAGAAUUCCACUGAAUGGAGGUGCUGUUCCUUAUUUCAUUAUUCCCUUCUUUAGCUAGUUAGCUUUCCUCCUUUUUUUUUCUUUUGUAAAACAUGUAAUGUGAAUAUUCCUAGACAUAUAUUUUUGUGCCACUCUCUCCAAAGGGGGCUUCAGUUCCCAUUCCCGUAAGGUCCAGCCUCUACAAACCCCUGGAUAUCAUUUUAUAAUUUUAAAAAGUCCCCAUUUUACUUGAUGACAUCUCAGGGCUGUCAUUUGAAUUCCUUUCAUUGAUUGUGAGGAGAACAUCAUUUUUCCUCCACGUGUUUAUUGACCAUUUGUAUUUUAUAUAUAAAUUUUUGGUUCAUUUCCUUUAUUUUUCUAGAGAUGGAAAAUUGCAGUCUUCUAAACUAGAUCUUUUCUUGUGAAAAUCACUUUUAGACACUGUUUUCUUCAUCCUCUGGUGAUGUCCUCUUGUCUUCUGUCGUCUCUAGACCCUGGAGCCCAGGGGGAUUUUCUAGAAACUCACCGACCUUCCCGAUGGUAUGAGCUAGCCUCCAGCAGUCCUGGCAGGCUCUGGGAGAGGCUGGUGAGGAUUCCUCUGGAGGACAAGUUGUUCAGCCCCUGGAGGGGGCAUGAGGAAGAGGAGAGUGUGGGGCUACUGCCAUCUGCCUGAUUCCCUGAGGCCCAGGCUCUGGGCUGGAGGUGGCUCUGGCGUAGCGGGGAGGCUCUCUGCUGAUGGAGCCGCGGUCCUGCCUUUGAGGCCAACUUCUCCCACAACUCCCGCCCCUCUCUGGGCCUCAGGGGCUCAUCUGAAAAGCAGGGGUGGUGAUGGCCCUCCCGUAGGGUGUAGCAAGGACAAAUGUGAAUGCGUUUUGCAGAUGGUUCUCAAAUUAUAACGAAGGCAAAGUUAUUUUUAUUUUGAGCUGUAAUUGUGGUCUGGUUCUUCAAGGAAAGAGUUGGGUGGUUUGCGGUGAGGAUGUCCAAGUUUGUCAUAUUUGGAGAAUGUUUGGCAUUUUUGGGUGGGAUCUGCUAGUGACCUCCCCACCCCAUGCUCUCUGAGUCUCAGUCUCCUCCUCUGUAAAGUGGGGACCAUGGUACCAACCUCGCUGGGCUGUGUGAGGAUUAAAUGAGUUAAUCUAUAUAAAGCAGUGAGAUUAUCCAUUGGCACCUAGUGAGAGUUAUAUGGAUUAACUCGUUAAAUCCUCGUACAAUCCAGUGAGGUAGGUAUUGCUUUAUCAUUACUUUACAGGGGAGGACACUGAGACUAGGUGGGUGAAGUGGCCAGCCCAAGGUGGCACUUAAUAGUGGCUUAGCUAAAUAUACAUCCAGGCGGUCUGUCCUGAGAGUCCACAUUUCUAACCACUGUCCUAUACAGCCACUAUCCUGUACUGGGCUGGGGAGAAGAGGCGGGUAAGGAAGGAGAGAAACCUGGCCAUAAGUUAAGAUGACUGUCAAGCUUCCUUCAUGCUUCUCAGCCCCUCCUUGCACAGUCUCCUCCAGCCACACCUCCUCCAGGAAAUCUUGCCAGGUGAGCCCCACCCAUGUGAUCACUCUUUUUCCCCAUCUAUUUUCAACUUAUCAACCUAGUUGUCUGCAUGGUGCUUUGUAAUGCCUUGAACAUUGUUAUUCAAUUCAGUGGGCAUGUAUCAAAUGCUUAGAACACAGGGCUAGAGCCAUGGGGCAUGCAGACACGGAAGAAACACAUUUCCUCCCUUCCAGGCAUUUAUAACCCUGUCAGGGACGUAGAGGAAGACGGUCAUACGAAAUACCAAUGAAAGAGAAAUUGAGAUCAGUGUGGUAAAAGAAUUAUGACCUGUGUUCUAUAGAAGUGUGGGGGAAAUAAAGCUUAAUUCAGACUGGCGAUGGGUACGCCGGGAAAGCGUCACAGGUCGUGCAUUUGCACUGGGUCCUGAAGGAUGGCUCCGGUUUUAAGAGGCAGUAUGAUGGGAGAGCAAUCAGUGAAAUAGAGCAGGAGUAAAGACCCAUCCUGUAAACUAUGCCCCGCUGAUGCAAGGCAACAUCGUCAGUGCUAUUGUAGCAGCUUUGUGGUUAUGAGUAAUGGGAGCAGGAGCUCUUUGUCCUUGAGACUUGUUCAUGUGUUUGCAUCCCAUUUAAAUCAUCAACAGAGAUCCUGCAUUCUGUGCUCUUGUUCUGCAUUUCCCCCGGCUGACCCGUGGCUCAGAGCUCCCUUCUCCUGUAGGGACAAACUGCAGAGAGGUUGGUUCUGUCCUCUGAUCAAGUGCUUAACUGCGUUGCUCCCAUCUCCCUGGUCUGAUAAGGGUGUCCUUCUGGGCCGAAGUGAGGGAGCCCUGCAGUGCCUGCAUUCUACUCAGUGCCUAAACUUUUUGCUUGUGAACCUAGUGAGGCUGUUGCCACCCCCUGGUCCCAGGAACGCAUCCAGCUGUGUUGCUUUGGGUCGGUCUGGGGUCUGAGGUCUGGCUUCAGGUAAUAGGUGCUGGAGGCUUGAGGUUAAUGUGAGGAAUAGAAAUAUUAGACCACCUCUGAGUAGCAGGGAACUUUUCCUGGACAAUAGUUUUUCAUUUUCCCAUUCGUCCAUCGCCCAUCCAACAAACAUUUGUUUAAUCCCUUCUCUGUGUCAGGCAGUGAACUUGGUGCUGGGGACCCAAAGAGCAAAAAACACAGUUCUUGUCCUCAAGCUCGGGGUCUAGUGACAUGUGAUCAUGCAAUUACAGCACUGAGUACUUUGAUCAGAGAAGGGGCACCCCACACGGAAUGAGGGUUAGGGAGCUGGCAAUUCUGAACAGAGUCUCAGUGGACAAAAGGGAGAUGGGAGAGGAAGUGCAGACAGAAGGUACAGGAGAAGGUGAGGCAUGGGGUGCCCAGGGACACUUGCUGGGGCCGAGAGAGGGUUGGGGGGUGGAGGCUGCCAAGCUAGGUGACUGGACAAGGAAGACAGACCCAGGUCAUGAAGGUUCUUGUGGGCCAUGCAGUAGCAUUUGGAUGCUACUCUCGGGGCCCUGAAGGGUUCUGAGCAUAGAAAUGACUUGUUUGGCUCUGCACUGUAUAAAGAAAACUGACUGUAGUGAGGAAAAUGCCGUGGUGGGGGCAGGAGUGAGAGCAGGGAGGCCGUGAGGAGGCUGUUGCAGUGGUUCAGGAAAGAGAAGAUGAGGACCUGGCCUGGGCAGGGGGAGGGAACUGGAGGUUGGGAGAGAAUUGAGAGGUACUGAGGGGGUAGAAUCAACAGGACAUGCCUAUCAAGUGGAUGUGGGUGGGGAGGACAGGGAGGAGUCAAGGAUGACUUCCAGUGGUCUGACUGUGCCUUCCACUGGGUCGCUGGGGAUGCUCUUCGCUGAGUCAGAGAACAGGAGGAGGAACAGCUUUGCAUCAGGCCUGCGGGCAGAGAGGUGAGUUGAGUCUUGGGCAUGUUGAGUCAGCUGGAGAUAGGGCACUGGAGCUGAGGGGAUGUCAAGGCCUAUAGCAGAAUUUGGAAAUCUUUGGGAUAUAAGUUUUAGGUAAAAGGCAAAGGGUAUUGGGUUUGAGUGGAAUGUAUGAAGCAGAUCAAGAAGAACAUUUUAAAGAGAGUUGGAGACGAGCAGAAAGAGUGUAUCCAGGAGAGUAUAACUGUGGCCCGUGUUGAAGAGAUGCAGUCAGACAGACUGGAAAGGGCUUGGAGCUGGCAAUAUGGGAGCACAGCUGGCUCCAGGACCACAGAUUUUGAAGAACGGGAGGAGAAGUCAGAAUACAGUGUGUUGGGUGAGUGGGAGGUGAUGAGGGGAGAGAGAGAGGCAUCUUGUUGAAAUAAGUUUGCCUAAGAAGGUAAGGCCAGAGAGAGGGGUGGAGAAGGGAGAGACCAGUCAAGGAAGAGUUGCUUUAGAAUGGGAAAGCCUUGGUCAUGCUCUUGUGUUGAGCGGAAGGAGUCAGUGGAGAGGAAGGUAGAACAUAGAAAGCCUGUGUCACCAUGCUUAGGGGAAUCCCAGAGGGGCCUCGGCCACAGGGGCUGCAGGGAACUCCAGGCCCUGUAGGUAAAGCAGCCUUCUGGCCUGACAGGCUACCGUGCUGAGCCCCUCUGCUGCCACCCAGGCCUCAGUUCCCUCCACGCUCUACCAGUGGGCUGUGCUGGAUCUUUGUUCUACAAAACUGGCCCCAGCUGGCUGCAGAGCUGAUGGGACCUAGUCCAAACCUCCUUUUGUCUCCACAGCUUCAGCCUGUAUUUAGCAGCAGGAAGGUUUCCUUGGGUCUCUGCCGCCAACUGCCACAGUUGUGGAGUAAGGUGGAUCAUGAGACAGGCCUGGCACAGGGCAGCCAGGUUAAAGCUUCAGGCGUUGGUUCUGAGCCACGCAGAGGCCUGGGCUAAACCACCAAGGGCCUGUGGUCAGGCUGCCACCUAGUGUUGAGCCAGCUGUACAGCAGGGAGGCCUCUACAAGGCACCAACCAUGAGUAGGGAGAGGCCAGAAGCAGGGAAAACCAGACACCAGCAGAGAAGUCAGACUUCAGAGAGGACUCGGCAUCCUGAGCAAGAGAGAGAAUGUAAUUCAGGUGGUGAAGACAAACAACGAAGUAACCCGUCAGCCUGUGGCCGGAGGCCAAUAACUCAGUGCAGAGUUCUAGUUUACAAGGACGCUCCCUCUCAUUCAAUCCUUGGAAUCCUCCUUCAUCCUUCUCCAGAUGUGGUAUGUCCCUGGAAGCUUCAAAAUAUUUGCCCGUGUCCAUUGCCUAGUAAGUCGCAGAACUGGGGUUUGAAAGGGGGUUUUCAGACUUUGAGAAGUGGCUGGUGGGGGGGCAGGCACUGAGUUUCGUUUCAUUUCAGGAGCAAUAGGAACAGUCGAGGCAGACGUAAGCAUGAGGUGUGGAGGGUCUGGGCAAAACUGAGCAAUGGGGCCCUGUGCCUGGUUGGCCUGGAGGUGGAGAGGGAGGCUCGGAGGUGAGAAGCCCCACCACUGCCCAGGAUGUGUGCAAAUGGCUACUGGGCUUGAGGAGAGGUUUGCCAGUGAGGCAGGCCCCAGCGAGUCCUGCGUGGGAGCCAGGAGAGCGCAGUGCCAGAUGUCAGGGGCUCUGGGAGGAGGGGCCUAAGGGGUGACUGACAGGACCGUCAAUGACAAGCCCAGUGAGCAUCUGGCCUGCUAACGUGCAGCUGGAACAGAGGACCCAAGAUCAGAGAAAUGCACCAGCGAGUAGAUGGGGCCCUGAGAGCAGGCAACACUGGGGGAAUUGAAGCAUCUCCUGGGGGGAUUACAGGGGAGAAGGAGAAGAGAAAAAAGCAGCCAGCCUACCUGCUUGCAGACGCCCACUUGGAAGGAAGACCGAGAGGCCUCUGGAGGUGCCAGCUGGGGGUGGGUGGGUAGGACUGCCUUCAAUUCAGAGGCCCAGGUGAGAAACAGCAAGAGUGCUUUUUCCUCACCUGCCUGGACCGUGUUGGUAAAGGUGAAGGCAGCAUGUGGGGGCAGGUAGCAGAGCCCUGCCAAGAGUAAGAGGACAGUGUCCUAGGUUGCACGUGUCCCCCAAGCCAGGCUGCGUCUUCAAAUGAAAAAGUCACCCCCCCCCCCCAUUUUUUCUAAACAAGAAGGCACAAUCAUUUGUUCCCAUGCAGGGCAGGAGAACUAAAGGGAUGGAACAUCUCUUUGGCCCCAGGCUUAGGGUUUGAGUGGGAAGGGAGGUGAGCUGAGGCAGGAAGGACAACUUGGGCAGGAGCCUGACAACAUGGGGCUUGUCCUCCCGAUGACGUUGCUGCCCUGACAGCACCCCUCAGAGGCCUCUGCAGUCCUGCUCCUCCGACCCUCCCAGUGCCCUCCAGCCCCUCUCCUGUCCACACACACACUCAAUACCUCCUUGCUUCCCCAUUCAAACAUGACUAACUAGGUGUAUAGCAAAUUGGAUCCUAUUUGUAAUCUAUCAGUAAAUGUUAGUCAGUGACUGUGCGCCUGAACCUUUGCUACUCCCACUCAGAUUGUCUUAAAGUUUUCUUUUUAAUAAAACUCUGGCUAUAAAGUAAGAAGAGCCUGCUAUGGGACAGUCAGGAAAGGAUAAUGAGGACAGUAUCAAUCAGAUUGUCUUUUAAUCAAUUAAAAAUAAACAACUUUAUCUCAUUUUUGAUGACUAGGCAUUCUUUCCAGCCACUGAAGGUCCUGGUGCUGUGGUGGGUUCUGCAUUGUGAGUGCUCAGUCAGGACUUGUGGGGUGGCUGCUCAUUGGCUGGUGCCCAGCGAGCACCAGGCUUCCUGUAAACAUUCAAAAAUAUGGCGUGUGUUGGAGUGGUAGCUUGUCUGUAGCACACUGCCUGGGGAGCUGGCUGAAUUCCAUAUAGACUUGUUUUUCCCAAGUUAGCUGGUGGCUUCCUGCCAUGACAACAAGCUCAGUCCUGCAGGAGUGGGUUUGGAUGGUGCCUCUGGAUCCCCUGAGUGUGAGCUGACCCUGAGAGGAGUUAGUCCCUUGACAAUCAGAUGUUGAGUACCUACUGUGUGCCUCGUACCAUGUGGGCUACUGAGGCUUUAUAAAGAUGAAGGCUGAUGGAGAUAGGUUCCACAGACCAGCUGGAAUGUAACCUAAUACAUGUGGGCCUAGAGUUAGAUAUAAAACAUUGAGAGAGCAGAGGGGAUGGCCCUGGGGGUAAGUCACUCCACGAAGUCUUCACAGAAGACUCUUCACAGAAGAGGUGGCCUGAGAGUUGAGCCUUGAAGGGCGAGUGGAGUGUAGAAGGUUGGGGGACUUAGGGCCAGGUGGAGAGAAGAGAAGCCAUUCUAGGAAAAAUGGAGAACAAGAACAGUGAGCUGGAGGCGUGAGGCUGAAAUGCGUUCCAGGAGCACCAGGAGGACCUUCUGUGGCUUACAUUUUUGUUUGAGCUGCACUGUUAAAGUGGGUGGCUGCUGCUAUGUGAGCAGCGAGCUCCCUGCAUCUUCGGAGGGUCCUCUCCCUGGCCCCUCCAUGCUUUUCCUUGGGUCUACCUGGCAGGAAACAGGAAUGUCUCCUGGUUUCGGCCAGGCCCAGUUCCAUUGCCUCCUUCCCUGAAGCCUCUGGGAUUAUCUGGACAGAUGUGGCUGCUCCCACUUCUGGGCUGUCACUUCACCCUGUCCUUCCCACUGUUAUGGCCCCUUACACACUGAUUGUCACUGUUUUAGGGUCUGCUUUCUCCAUUAGGCUAUAUGUUCUUCACAGGCAGGAAACGUGCUCGGUUCGUCCCCGCAUUCCUAGCAUCUGGCACUGGACCUCACAUAGAACACACACUCAAUAAAUGCUGAAUGCUUUAGUUUGUUCUGUGAGCACAUCCCACUCACUGAGCAGACCCUGGCUCAGUUUUCUCGUCUAACCUCAUUAGGGAUUAAUGUAAGACUCUGAGCAGUCUGAUGCAGGGUGAGAAGGUUCAGGUUAGAUUGUCCUCAUCAACCCCAAUUAGUGCUUGAUUGAGAAGGUCACAGUCCAGGCUUAUGUAGUGAGAAUCCAUUAUUUAAUUGAUUAAAACAGGUUUUCAGUUGGCAGCUUGACAAGUGCAUACUGCACAGCCUCACCCACUCCACCUACAGGGCUAGUAUGUGACAGAUUUAGGUGGAAAAUGCUUGGAAUGCCUUGAAGAUCCUGCUCCAGCCAGCCAGCUGGGUGCUACUGGGACAGGGAGGUCCCUGGUGACAAAUGUGACCUGAUUACUGGAGCUCUUUCUUCCUAGGAUGGGCCUUGGGAGCAUGGCUAAUUGCUAAACCAGGGACUGAGAGAAGAUGAGAAGCACGUCUCCUGAAUCCUGCCCUGUUGUACCAUUGACCCCAUUUGGGAACCUGGACCUUGUCUUUUCAUACUAAUCGUCAGCUGAACUAUCAGGACGGUUUUAUAAAUCCCUAAUUCCUCUAAGGGAAUUUUGUGAUGAUGCCCUUCCAAGGAAAGGUGGAUGAAUGAGCGGAUAAGCAGAGGGAUGGGAUAUAUGGAUGGACAGAUAGCAAAUGACCAGAUGGAUAGACAGGUAGAUGGUAGAAUAAGUGGAUGGAUAGAUGGAAGGGAAGUCAGCCUGUGCUUAUGGGCCUCCUGGGGACAUAAAGUCCUCCAGUGGGAGGUGGUGCUGGUGGAUGCUGCUGUGGCAGGACUUUAGUUCCUGAAGGCUUGGUAUGAGUAGUUGAAGAGCUAAAUAUAAAGGGCUAACUCUUGCAUUUUUUUUCAGGAAACAGCAAUAAAUUGAAUGCAACUGAUGUCUCUUCAAAGAUUUGCUGUCUACCAAGACUUUCAAGCAUCGAAAAUAUCUUUAUCUUUUCCUCUCAGCAUUGAUGGGGAGGCCAUUUAGGAGAGAGUGAAAUAACCUGCAAAGAGAAAGAAAUGACACCUAUAAAAAUAAUAUAGGAAGCAAUAAAACAACACUGCAAACAGUUUGGCAGGUGGAGAGGAAAGAAUCACCUUCAUAAAUCCAUCAUUCUAGAGUGAGCCUUGUGUUUGUGUGGCUGUGCUUAUGCACGGGAAUGGACACAGCUGCAAUCACCCUCCACAUACCCACACUCUGUAACCUACUUUCUCCACCUAACAUGAUGUCAUGAGCAUUUUUCUAUGUUGCUACAUAGUCUUUAUAAUUACUUAAAGUGACUGUAAAAUAUUCCAUUCACUGCUAUUGUUGAUAUUUAGAUUGCUUGUAUGAUUUUUCCUUUGUUCAUUUUUAUGAAUUGACGAAUAGUAGGUAUUUCACUCAGUGCCUUGAAAAACAUAUAUAUCUAGUAGGUGCUUUAUUUCAUUCCCAUCUCUCUCCUUCAUAUAUAUCUUUGUAUCUGGGCUUUUCCUUAGGAUAAAUUUCUUAGGAUAAAUAUUGAGUUCAAGCGUUUAAACAAUUGUAUGACUUUUUACAUGGUAUUUCACACACGUUGCUUUAUUAUGAUGAUAAUAACAAUGAUGAUAAUAUGAAUAACUCCACAAUUACACAUAGUAUUUCACAAAAUCCUCCCAACAUCUCUGAGGGUAGUCAUUACCCCAUUUUAGAUGAGAAGCAGAUGUCCACAAGUUUAAGUAAUUUGUCCAGCGGCUAUGUCUGUUCUGUUUUCGUCUUUCUCCCCAGGGUUAAGUACAAUGUCUGGCUCAUAGAAUGACUGCAGUAAAUGUUUCCUGAAUGAA